GCGCAGUUUUCUGAUUGAUUGCCUAGAAAGAUUGAAGAAACAAAUGGAGGAAAACUUUUAUGAUUUGUUAUUUCACAUUUGUGCAGCCAACUCUGCCAAACUUUAAGGAUUGAAAAAUUUAACUCUUUAAAGAUGCUAUCGUCUAACCACUAAUUUUAGUUAUUGCUAAAGGUACCUUGUCGGUUGCUAAUUAAAUUGUUCUUUUAAUAUUUUCUACUGCAG
RNAcentral lists this unclassified non-coding RNA (222 nucleotides) under Hevea brasiliensis (rubber tree). Lineage: Eukaryota; Viridiplantae; Streptophyta; Magnoliopsida; Malpighiales; Euphorbiaceae. The record is from RNAcentral.